AUUUCAGCUCCUGUCUGGGCUUCACAAUAGUCGAAUACCUUAAAUUUCAAAAUUUGGAUAUUCGUUGUUGAUGAAGCCUUGAUGGGGGUGAGAAAGA
Molecule: microRNA precursor, 97 nt
Organism: Caenorhabditis elegans
Lineage: Eukaryota; Metazoa; Nematoda; Chromadorea; Rhabditida; Rhabditidae
Source: Ensembl